UACGGGGGGGGCAAGCGUUGUUCGGAAUUACUGGGCGUAAAGGGCUCGUAGGUGGCCAACUAAGUCAGACGUGAAAUCCCUCAGCUUAACUGGGGAACUGCGUCUGAUACUGGAUGGCUUGAGUUUGGGAGAGGGAUGCGGAAUUCCAGGUGUAGCGGUGAAAUGCGUAGAUAUCUGGAGGAACACCGAUGGCGAAGGCAGGUCUCUGGGCCACUACUGACGCUGAGAAGCGAAAGCAUGGGGAGCGAACAGG
RNAcentral lists this ribosomal RNA (253 nucleotides) under uncultured bacterium. Its description in RNAcentral is "partial 16S ribosomal RNA". It matches the Rfam family "Bacterial small subunit ribosomal RNA", at positions 524 to 776 of the family's 1533-position model. The record is from RNAcentral.